Molecule: non-coding RNA, 92 nt
Organism: Gymnopus androsaceus JB14
Lineage: Eukaryota; Fungi; Basidiomycota; Agaricomycetes; Agaricales; Omphalotaceae
Source: the annotation of a GenBank genome assembly
GACUUCUUAGCUCAGCGGUAGAGCGUGUGAUUCCAGUCGCCUGUAUUGAUAAAGGAUCCACAAGGUCGUCCGUUCAAUCCGGGCAGAGGUCA